This 492-nucleotide ribosomal RNA is filed under the name uncultured bacterium. RNAcentral's name for it is "partial 16S ribosomal RNA". It matches the Rfam family "Bacterial small subunit ribosomal RNA", at positions 29 to 507 of the family's 1533-position model. The record is from RNAcentral.
AGUGAACGCUGGCGGUAGGCCUAACACAUGCAAGUCGAACGGCAGCACAGUAAGAGCUUGCUCUUACGGGUGGCGAGUGGCGGACGGGUGAGGAAUAUAUCGGAAUCUACUUUUUCGUGGGGGAUAACGUAGGGAAACUUACGCUAAUACCGCAUACGACCUACGGGUGAAAGCAGGGGAUCUUCGGACCUUGCGCGAUUGAAUGAGCCGAUGUCGGAUUAGCUAGUUGGCGGGGUAAAGGCCCACCAAGUCGACGAUCCGUAGCUGGUCUGAGAGGAUGAUCAGCCACACUGGAACUGAGACACGGUCCAGACUCCUACGGGAGGCAGCAGUGGGGAAUAUUGGACAAUGGGCGCAAGCCUGAUCCAGCCAUACCGCGUGGGUGAAGAAGGCCUUCGGGUUGUAAAGCCCUUUUGUUGGGAAAGAAAAGCAGCAGGUUAAUACCCCGCUGUUCUGACGGUACCCAAAGAAUAAGCACCGGCUAACUUCGUG